UUCCACAGCCUUAUCACCCUGCAGCCCGGUUACUCACUACAGCUAAGCAGGGUUGAGCCUGGUUACUACCUGGAUGGGAGAGACCACAUGGCAAAUCUAGGUUGCAGUUGGAA
This 113-nucleotide ribosomal RNA is filed under the name Danio rerio (zebrafish). Lineage: Eukaryota; Metazoa; Chordata; Actinopteri; Cypriniformes; Danionidae. The record is from RNAcentral.